CCUACGGGUGGCAGCAGUGAGGAAUAUUGGUCAAUGGGCGAGAGCCUGAACCAGCCAAGUCGCGUGAGGGAGUACUGCCCUAUGGGUUGUAAACCUCUUUUGUCGGGGAGCAAAAGCCGGACCUGUCCGGCUGUGAGAGUACCCGAAGAAAAAGCAUCGGCUAACUCCGUGCCAGCAGCCGCGGUAAUACGGAGGAUGCGAGCGUUAUCCGGUUUUAUUGGGUUUAAAGGGUGCGCAGGCGGAUUUUUAAGUCAGCGGUAAAAUCGUGGGGCGCAACCCCAUCCAGCCGUUGAAACUGGGGAUCUAGAGUGGGCGAGAGGUAUGCGGAAUGCGUGGUGUAGCGGUGAAAUGCAUAGAUAUCACGCAGAACCCCGAUUGCGAAGGCAGCCUACCGGUGCACAACUGACGCUCAGGCACGAAAGCGUGGGUAUCGAACAGGAUUAGAUACCCCUGUAGUC
RNAcentral lists this ribosomal RNA (458 nucleotides) under uncultured bacterium. RNAcentral's name for it is "partial 16S ribosomal RNA". It matches the Rfam family "Bacterial small subunit ribosomal RNA", at positions 338 to 795 of the family's 1533-position model. The record is from RNAcentral.